This 460-nucleotide ribosomal RNA is filed under the name uncultured bacterium. RNAcentral describes it as "partial 16S ribosomal RNA". It matches the Rfam family "Bacterial small subunit ribosomal RNA", at positions 338 to 795 of the family's 1533-position model. The record is from RNAcentral.
CCUACGGGAGGCAGCAGUGAGGAAUAUUGGUCAAUGGGCGUAAGCCUGAACCAGCCAAGUCGCGUGAGGGAUGAAGGUUCUAUGGAUCGUAAACCUCUUUUAUAAGGGAAUAAAGUGUGGGACGUGUCCUGUUUUGUAUGUACCUUAUGAAUAAGGAUCGGCUAACUCCGUGCCAGCAGCCGCGGUAAUACGGAGGAUCCGAGCGUUAUCCGGAUUUAUUGGGUUUAAAGGGUGCGUAGGCGGCCUUUUAAGUCAGCGGUGAAAGUCUGUGGCUCAACCAUCGAAUUGCCGUUGAAACUGGGAGGCUUGAGUAUGUUUGAGGCAGGCGGAAUGCGUGGUGGAGCGGUGAAAUGCUUAGAUAUCACGCAGAACCCCGAUUGCGAAGGCAGCCUGCCAAGCCAUGACUGACGCUGAUGCACGAAAGCGUGGGGAUCAAACAGGAUUAGAUACCCCAGUAAUC